AAUUGUUCGCAAUGGGCGCAAGCCUGACGACGCAACGCCGCGUGGAGGAUGAAGAUCUUCGGGUCGUAAACUCCUGUCGAGCGGGACGAAUGCCUUGCCGGUGAAUAUCCGGCGAGGGUGACGGUACCUGCAGAAGAAGCCCCGGCCAACUACGUGCCAGCAGCCGCGGUAAGACGUAGGGGGCAAGCGUUGUCCGGAUUUAUUGGGCGUAAAGAGCUCGUAGGCGGCUCAGAAAGUCGGGUGUGAAACCUCCAGGCUCAACCUGGAGACGCCACCUGAUACUGCUGUGGCUAGAGUCCGGUAGGGGAGCACGGAAUUCCCGGUGUAGCGGUGAAAUGCUUAGAUAUCGGGAGGAACACCAGUGGCGAAGGCGGUGCUCUGGGCCGGAACUGACGCUGAGGAGCGAAAGCGUGGGUAGCAAAC
RNAcentral lists this ribosomal RNA (423 nucleotides) under uncultured bacterium. RNAcentral's name for it is "bacterial SSU rRNA". It matches the Rfam family "Bacterial small subunit ribosomal RNA", at positions 360 to 773 of the family's 1533-position model. The record is from RNAcentral.